GAUGAACGCUGGCGGCGUGCCUAAUGCAUGCAAGUCGAACGGAGAAUAUAGCUUCGGUUGUAUUUUUAGUGGCGAACGGGUGAGUAAUACGUAAGUAACCUGCCCUCGAGUGGGGGAUAACCCCGAGAAAUCGGGACUAAUACCGCGUAAUGUAUAGGGAUAAAACCCAAACACCAAAGCCUUCGGGCGCUUGAGGAGGGGCUUGCGGCUUAUCAGGUAGUUGGUGAGGUAACGGCCCACCAAGCCUAUGACGGGUAGCUGGUUUGAGAGGAUGAUCAGCCACAUUGGGACUGAGAUACGGCCCAGACUCCUACGGGAGGCUG
This 323-nucleotide ribosomal RNA is filed under the name uncultured Chloroflexota bacterium. Its description in RNAcentral is "bacterial SSU rRNA". It matches the Rfam family "Bacterial small subunit ribosomal RNA", at positions 28 to 351 of the family's 1533-position model. The record is from RNAcentral. Lineage: Bacteria; Bacillati; Chloroflexota.